RNAcentral lists this ribosomal RNA (477 nucleotides) under uncultured bacterium. RNAcentral's name for it is "SSU rRNA". It matches the Rfam family "Bacterial small subunit ribosomal RNA", at positions 26 to 518 of the family's 1533-position model. The record is from RNAcentral.
AGGACGAACGCUGGCGGCGUGCUUAACACAUGCAAGUCGAGCGGUAAGGCUCCUUCGGGAGUACACGAGCGGCGAACGGGUGAGUAACACGUGAGCAAUCUGCCCUUCACUUUGGGAUAACUUCCGGAAACGGAAGCUAAUACCGAAUACGACCAUUACAGACAUCUGUUGAUGGUGGAAAGUUCCGGCGGUGAAGGAUGAGCUCGCGGCCUAUCAGCUUGUUGGUGGGGUAAUGGCCCACCAAGGCGACGACGGGUAGCCGGCCUGAGAGGGUGACCGGCCACACUGGGACUGAGACACGGCCCAGACUCCUACGGGAGGCAGCAGUGGGGAAUAUUGGACAAUGGGCGAAAGCCUGAUCCAGCAACGCCGCGUGAGGGAUGACGGCCUUCGGGUUGUAAACCUCUUUCAGCAGGGACGAAGCGAAGUGACGGUACCUGCAGAAGAAGCACCGGCCAACUACGUGCCAGCAGCCGC